GCAGGUGGCCUAAAGUGGUUAGGGUGUUUGCCUCUGAUGCAUGAGGUUGCAAGUUCGAACCCCUGAACCCCAACA
Potamilus streckersoni is the source of this 75-nucleotide non-coding RNA. NCBI's taxonomy places the organism in Eukaryota, Metazoa, Mollusca, Bivalvia, Unionida, Unionidae. The record is from the annotation of a GenBank genome assembly.